This 502-nucleotide ribosomal RNA is filed under the name uncultured Desulfobulbus sp. RNAcentral's name for it is "bacterial SSU rRNA". It matches the Rfam family "Bacterial small subunit ribosomal RNA", at positions 904 to 1382 of the family's 1533-position model. The record is from RNAcentral. Lineage: Bacteria; Pseudomonadati; Thermodesulfobacteriota; Desulfobulbia; Desulfobulbales; Desulfobulbaceae.
GCCAGCCCGCUCAGAACUUCAAGGAAUUGACGGGGCCGCACAAGCGGUGGAGUAUGUGGUUUAAUUCGAUGCAACGCGAAGAACCUUACCUGGUCUUGACAUCCCGGAGACCCUUAGGAAACUAGGGGGUGCUUCCAUCUGGAAGAAUCUGGAGACAGGUGCUGCAUGGCUGUCGUCAGCUCGUGUCGUGAGAUGUUGGGUUAAGUCCCGCAACGAGCGCAACCCUUGCCUUUAGUUGCCAGCAGUUCGGCUGGGCACUCUAAAGGGACUGCCGGUGUUAAACCGGAGGAAGGUGGGGAUGACGUCAAGUCCUCAUGGCCUUUAUGACCAGGGCUACACACGUACUACAAUGGCCGAUACAAAGGGCAGCGACACUGCGAGGUGAAGCCAAUCCCGUAAAAUCGGUCUCAGUCCGGAUUGGAGUCUGCAACUCGACUCCAUGAAGUUGGAAUCGCUAGUAAUCGUGGAUCAGCAUGCCACGGUGAAUACGUUCCCGGGCCUU